RNAcentral lists this non-coding RNA (241 nucleotides) under Bacillus methanolicus MGA3. The record is from RNAcentral. Lineage: Bacteria; Bacillati; Bacillota; Bacilli; Caryophanales; Bacillaceae.
AAGGCCCAUUGCCACUCCGGCAACAGCUCCUUGCAUCUCACCUUCACGAGCAAUUUCCGCUGUUCCGAUCCCGUGGGCAACCGUACCAAUCGAAAGCCCCCUUGCAAUGGGAUGGGUUACGUGUAGUUUGUUCAAGAGCCACGGUCCGAACAUAGCUCCGAUCAUUCCAGUAAUCAUGACAAAUGCAGCAACUAGAAUCCCAUCAGCCCGAAUUAUUUUUGCAACUUCAGAUGCAAACGCG